CAAGUCGAACGCGAAAGUUCCCUUCGGGGAGCGAGUAGAGUGGCGCACGGGUGAGUAACACGUAGGUAAUCUACCUUUGGAUUGGGAAUAACAACCGGAAACGGUUGCUAAUACCGAAUAAUGCAGCGGCACCUAAUGGUGACAGUUGUUAAAGCGGGGGAUCGCAAGACCUCGCGUCUGAAGAGGAGCCUGCGGCGGAUUAGCUAGUUGGUAAGGUAAUGGCUUACCAAGGCGAUGAUCCGUAGCCGGCCUGAGAGGGCGGUCGGCCACACUGACACUGACAUACGGGUCAGACUCCUACGGGAGGCAGCAGUCGGGAAUUUUGGGCAAUGGGCGAAAGCCUGACCCAGCAACGCCGCGUGAAGGAUGAAAUCCCUCGGGAUGUAAACUUCGCAAGAACGGGAAGAAUAAGUAGGAGCUAACAUCUCUUACGAUGACGGUACUGUUUGUAAGCUCCGGCUAACUCCGUGCCAGCAGCCGCGGUAAUACGGGGGGAGCAAGCGUUGUUCGGAUUUACUGGGCGUAAAGGGCGCGUAGGCGGCCACUGCAAGUCAGUUGUGAAAUCUCCGGGCUUAACCCGGAAAGGUCAACUGAUACUGCAGGGCUAGAGUGCAGAAGGGGCAACUGGAAUUCUCGGUGUAGCGGUGAAAUGCGUAGAUAUCGAGAGGAACACCUGCGGCGAAGGCGGGUUGCUGGGCUGACACUGACGCUGAUGUGCGAAAGCCAGGGGAGCGAACGGGAUUAGAUACCCCGGUAGUCCUGGCCUUAAACGAUGAAUGCUUGGUGUCUGGGGUUUUAUAGUCCCCGGGUGCCGUCGCUAACGCUUUAAGCAUUCCGCCUGGGGAGUACGGUC
Molecule: ribosomal RNA, 853 nt
Filed under: uncultured Pseudomonadota bacterium
Lineage: Bacteria; Pseudomonadati; Pseudomonadota
Description: bacterial SSU rRNA
Rfam family: Bacterial small subunit ribosomal RNA
Source: RNAcentral